UACGAGGGGGGCGAGCGUUGUUCGGAAUUAUUGGGCGUAAAGGGCGCGUAGGCGGUGCGGUAAGUCACCUGUGAAACCCCCGGGCUCAACUCGGGGCCUGCAGGCGAAACUGCCGUGCUGGAGCGCGGAAGAGGGGAGUGGAAUUCCUAGUGUAGAGGUGAAAUUCGUAGAUAUUAGGAAGAACACCAGUGGCGAAGGCGGCUCACUGGUCCGGUACUGACGCUGAGGUGCGAAAGCGUGGGGAGCAAACAGG
RNAcentral lists this ribosomal RNA (253 nucleotides) under uncultured bacterium. Its description in RNAcentral is "partial 16S ribosomal RNA". It matches the Rfam family "Bacterial small subunit ribosomal RNA", at positions 524 to 776 of the family's 1533-position model. The record is from RNAcentral.